Molecule: long non-coding RNA, 2001 nt
Filed under: Gossypium barbadense (sea-island cotton)
Lineage: Eukaryota; Viridiplantae; Streptophyta; Magnoliopsida; Malvales; Malvaceae
Description: long non-coding RNA (GBAR_LNC018291)
Source: RNAcentral
UGAGGACCAAAAAUUAAUCAAAUUAAAGUAUAAGGACUAAAUCCAUAACUUUUGAAAAGUACAAAGACUGAUAGCAGAAUUUAACCUAUUAAAAAGAUUCAAUUACAAAAAAAAAACAAAAAAACAAAAAAAAAAUAGAGCUUGAAAUGUAAAUGUUUAGCUCAAAAUCUUGAAUUCUGAAUCAAGCCCGAGCUUAUAACAGCUUAAGCUUGAUUUGGCUGGGUUUUUAAGCUACUGUUUGGUAUUUUAACAAGUUAUCUGGGCAGAACAAAAAGUGCUUCUUUACGGCAAAUGCUAUUGCUGCUGCUUCUUCUUCCUUUUCAAUUUUGAUUUCUCAUUUCUCUCCAUUUUGAUUUCCUUUUGCUUAAUUGUGAAAAUGUCAAGUUAAACCUAUGGCUGAUGUUUUCUUUUUUAAAAAUUUCUUUAGGCAAAGAUCCCAUGACCAAAUUCACUUACUGCUGCAUUCUGACAUGUUGAAUGUUCCCUCACCAUUACUGUCAAAUGCCGGUUUCUAAGGUUACUUCGUUAGAGUGUCGGCUAUGGUAUGUAUUCGAUUUGCGUAGAAUAAAUUAAUUUGCAGUUUUUUCAUAUAUUUAAAGCAUUAUAGCUCAUAUCUAUGUUAUCCUGCUUGGGUGGUAUGUUCAAAAUGAAUUUUAAUGUCUCUAUUUAGAGGAUCAUAUUCUUGUCUUUAAAUAUGAAUGUAUCUAACAAAAGUGCUUUAAGAAAAAUAAAGAAUUCGAAUAAUAUAGUCCUUCAUGUGAUGAAAUCUGAAUUCAGGUCAGUCAUUUUGUUUAUAUUAGAUUUUUUAGAUCAAACUCUCUAUGUUGCUUUGAUUAUUAUUAUUUUUUGAAGUACCCGUUUUUGGCACUCGUGUUCGACAUGGGUAUAGGAUAUGAUCAUCCUUGGACAUAGCUAACUGACCAUCCUUUGUUGAAAACAUUGGCAUUUGGUUCUUAAAGCAUCAAUGGAGACUGUAGACUUCUACAUAAGAUUGUUGCAGCCCUUAAGCUGUUCUAGUUGUUCUGUAGGAUGUUAAUAUUACAAGCUUGACAAGUAGUGGAAUUCUUGAAGACCCUCUUAGUUAGAUACAUAUAUGGAACUUUCCUUUUACAAGUACAAAUUAUAUACAUAUAGACAUACAUACAUAUAUAUACAUAUACAUAUACAUAUACAUAUACAUAUACAUAUACAUAUACAUAUACAUAUACAUAUACAUAUACAUAUAGGCCUUAUCAUUCAUAUAACAACUGCUGGCGAAGUGUUAAAACAGGCCAUCCGAGUGAAGUAGAAUUUUCGUGUUCCGAAGUUGCUUAGCUAGUUGUGGAAUGCUUGUGCCAUAUAUGAACUCUUGUUGUAAAAGAGUUCAAGAAAAAGCAAGGAUCAAAAGUAUAUUAAAUGUAGAAUCAGUAUCGGGUCAGAUCAGAUCGGACUCUCUUGGCCUUGUUUGCUACGUACAUACAUCAUUAGCGUGAUUCUAAACAGUUCAACUUGCUCAUUCUUUUGCAGCCUUAUCUUAUUCAACAUCCUGUUCUAGCCAGUCGGGCCUAAGGUUUCUGGUGGUUGAUAGGUCGCUUAACAAUGGUGUAUAUGAUUCUCAAUCUCUUGAGGUAACUGAAGAAGGGUGUGUUGGAAACAGGUAUAAGCUUCACAAACCAAGCAAUUGGCCAUGAAAAUGCUGCAAGUAAUAUACAAACUCCCCAUUGCCAUAGUUUCAACUGCUCUGUAUCUGCAAACUUCUUCAAGAAUUCCACCAUAACCACCUGAAGAACGAUGGUUACUCCAAUAAUCCCGAGAAAUAAUCGGUUCUUAAGAAUGCCUUCGAAAACAUUUUGCUUCUCCAACUUCCUUGCGUUGAACUCGUUAAAAACUUGGCAUAGAACGAAAGUAUUGAAUAUCAGUGUGUCCUUUACCGUCUCAGGCACGUUGACUAUUGAUUCGCCCCUGAAUUGUAAGAUCAAGAGAAUAGCUAUCUGGUAUAAGGCUUGAGCUAAGAGAUUCCUC